This is a non-coding RNA of Paramuricea clavata, 322 nucleotides long. The record is from the annotation of a GenBank genome assembly. NCBI's taxonomy places the organism in Eukaryota, Metazoa, Cnidaria, Anthozoa, Malacalcyonacea, Plexauridae.
CGCAGUUAUUUAGUUGAGUGAAGCCAUUCAAAAAAACAAAGCAGUUUCUUGGAGAGCCGGUUCUUUGCCUCGAAGGAUCAUUUUCGAAUUUCGUCUCGUUUCCAAGUCAUAAAAUACCUCUUCAGUUAUAACUUCUUCAUCGUAGAGUGUGUUAGAGCAUUAAUUGUGUCAGCAUAGCUGAAAGAGGAGAUAAUCGUAUAGUUAUAGACUUAUAGUAUUUGUAGGCCACUCGGUGACCCAGGUUCGAUUCUCUUGUAAACUGGAAAGCCCUUCUUUCUAAACUUUUGACAUAAUUUUGAGCAUUGAUGUACAUAGCCGGUCG